CCUACGGGAGGCUGCAGUGGGGAAUAUUGGACAAUGGGGGGAACCCUGAUCCAGCCAUGCCGCGUGUGUGAAGAAGGCCCUCGGGUUGUAAAGCACUUUCAGUGAGGAAGAACGCCUGGUGGUUAAUACCCAUCAGGAAAGACAUCACUCACAGAAGAAGCACCGGCUAACUCCUUGCCAGCAGCCGCGGUAAUACGGAGGGUGCGAGCGUUAAUCGGAAUUACUGGGCGUAAAGCGCGCGUAGGUGGCUUGAUAAGCCGGUUGUGAAAGCCCCGGGCUCAACCUGGGAACGGCAUCCGGAACUGUCAAGCUAGAGUGCAGGAGAGGAAGGUAGAAUUCCCGGUGUAGCGGUGAAAUGCGUAGAGAUCGGGAGGAAUACCAGUGGCGAAGGCGGCCUUCUGGACUGACACUGACACUGAGGUGCGAAAGCGUGGGUAGCAAACAGGAUUAGAUACCCUUGUAGUC
RNAcentral lists this ribosomal RNA (465 nucleotides) under Vreelandella stevensii. RNAcentral's name for it is "partial 16S ribosomal RNA". It matches the Rfam family "Bacterial small subunit ribosomal RNA", at positions 338 to 795 of the family's 1533-position model. Lineage: Bacteria; Pseudomonadati; Pseudomonadota; Gammaproteobacteria; Oceanospirillales; Halomonadaceae. The record is from RNAcentral.